GUCGAGAAUCUUUCACAAUGGGGGCAACCCUGAUGGAGCGACGCCGCGUGGAGGAUAAGGUCUUCGGAUUGUAAACUCCUGUCAUGCGUGAACAAGGUUGCUUGGUUAAUACCUGGGCAAAUUGAUGGUAACGCAAGAGGAAGAGACGGCUAACUCUGUGCCAGCAGCCGCGGUAAUACAGAGGUCUCAAGCGUUGUUCGGAAUCACUGGGCGUAAAGGGUGCGUAGGUGGCGUGGUAAGUCAGAUGUGAAAGCCCGGGGCUCAACCUCGGAACUGCAUCCGAUACUGCCAUGGUAGAGUACUGGAGGGUUGACUAGAAUUCUCGGUGUAGCAGUGAAAUGCGUAGAUAUCGAGAGGAAUACCAAAGGCGUAGGCAGGUCACUGGACAGUUACUGACACUGAGGCACGAAGGCCAGGGGAGCGAACGGGAUUAGAUACCCCUGUAGUCC
RNAcentral lists this ribosomal RNA (449 nucleotides) under uncultured bacterium. RNAcentral's name for it is "partial 16S ribosomal RNA". It matches the Rfam family "Bacterial small subunit ribosomal RNA", at positions 354 to 796 of the family's 1533-position model. The record is from RNAcentral.